CCUACGGGAGGCAGCAGUGAGGAAUAUUGGUCAAUGGGCGGAAGCCUGAACCAGCCAAGUAGCGUGCAGGAUGACGGCCCUACGGGUUGUAAACUGCUUUUAUAUGGGAAUAAAAUGUUCCACGUGUGGGAUUUUGUAUGUACCAUAUGAAUAAGGAUCGGCUAACUCCGUGCCAGCAGCCGCGGUAAUACGGAGGAUCCGAGCGUUAUCCGGAUUUAUUGGGUUUAAAGGGAGCGUAGGUGGAUUGUUAAGUCAGUUGUGAAAGUUUGCGGCUCAACCGUAAAAUUGCAGUUGAAACUGGCAGUCUUGAGUACAGUAGAGGUGGGCGGAAUUCGUGGUGUAGCGGUGAAAUGCUUAGAUAUCACGAAGAACUCCGAUUGCGAAGGCAGCUCACUGGACUGCAACUGACACUGAGGCUCGAAAGUGUGGGUAUCAAACAGGAUUAGAUACCCUAGUAGUC
This 460-nucleotide ribosomal RNA is filed under the name uncultured bacterium. RNAcentral's name for it is "partial 16S ribosomal RNA". It matches the Rfam family "Bacterial small subunit ribosomal RNA", at positions 338 to 795 of the family's 1533-position model. The record is from RNAcentral.